CUGCUGAGGCCUUGGCACGCUGGCUCCUCUCUGCUGGCCCAGAUAGGACAAUCUGGAAACCUGGCUCUUCGUGCUCUCUAAAAAGUAGCUCAUAGUAGGCACUCCAGCUUUUGCCCACUUGACAAAAACUCAAGGGAGGAAUCUCCAGACCCUGAUCAAAUACCACUGGUCUCAAGACGUUCAUCUAAGACACCCAAGAUUCCUUUGCCUGAUGUCUCAAAACACUUUUCUGCUUACAGACUGAGAGCAAAAUUGCAAAUGAAAAGAAAAACAACCUUCUUAGACAUUUAUUUAAGGAAUCAAGAGUUUUCUAAAACUGUAACGU
Molecule: long non-coding RNA, 325 nt
Organism: Neofelis nebulosa (Clouded leopard)
Lineage: Eukaryota; Metazoa; Chordata; Mammalia; Carnivora; Felidae
Exons: 3
Source: RefSeq, a predicted model, not a curated record